UUUUUAGGGAGACCAACUGAUUGAUGAAGAGAAUAAAUAAUUAAAGCUUCAUCAAAUCGGACACCCUAGGUCGGUCAAGGAAAAAGUAGAUUGGCUUUCAAACUGGUUUCGGUUCGGAAAAUGGGCUAUUAGCUCAGGUGGUUAGAGCGCACCCCUGAUAAGGGUGAGGUCCCUGGUUCGAGUCCAGGAUGGCCCACCUGUUCCAGGAAGAGGGGGUAUAGCUCAGCUGGUAGAGCGCUGCCUUUGCAAGGCAGAUGUCAGCGGUUCGAGUCCGCUUACCUCCAUACUUCCCCAAGAAGGCAGCAGGUUAAGCCAAACACCCGAAAAAAGAAACCGCAAAAAAAGGAACCGGAAAAAACGGAGCAUUCAGCACCUGUAGAAGUCAAAAGAACUUGCUCAGACUGCUGGACGUAAACGUUCAGUCAGAACCUUGAAAACUGCAUAGCGAGAGAAAAAGUCAAAGUCAGAUAGUAAUGCACAAUGCCCAAAAAGGCGUUUGUGUCUUACACAGACAAAAACCAAAAAUAGAU
Molecule: transfer RNA, 530 nt
Filed under: Coleofasciculus chthonoplastes MEL
Lineage: Bacteria; Bacillati; Cyanobacteriota; Cyanophyceae; Coleofasciculales; Coleofasciculaceae
Description: 16S-23S ribosomal RNA intergenic spacer
Rfam family: tRNA (bases 212-284)
Source: RNAcentral